GAAAAAUUAUAACAAAAUUAUAGAAAUUGCAACAAAAUUAGGGGAAUUAAACGCUGGAUGUUGAAAUUUGAAAAUAUAAUUAAAAGAGGAUUAGAAGAAUCACACUCAAAAGGGGAUUAGAAGAAUCACACCGUGUAUGCCCACUGAGUCACCGUCACAGUGUCAGACUGACAGCAGUGAUAGGCUCAGUCUCAGAAGUCAGACCGUCAGACGUGAGGGAGGGACUGAGGGGACGGACGGGCCCGCCGGGGGUCACGGCCUCACGGGACUACGGGAGCCGGGGCCGGGGAGGGAGCCUCACGCCGUCUGCCAUCACGGCCUCACGCCUCAUGGGAGUCGGGGCCGGGGGCGAGCGAGGAGCGGAGGAGGUCACAGCUCACGGGAG
This 385-nucleotide long non-coding RNA is filed under the name Phoenix dactylifera (date palm). Its description in RNAcentral is "long non-coding RNA (PDAC_LNC007627)". The record is from RNAcentral. Lineage: Eukaryota; Viridiplantae; Streptophyta; Magnoliopsida; Arecales; Arecaceae.